CGACCGUCUGCGCCGGGUCCAGGCGCGUGGCGUUGGGGUCGCCGCCGGGAUCGAACCGCGUGGCGUUCGGAUCGCCGCCGCCGA
RNAcentral lists this transfer RNA (84 nucleotides) under Actinomadura coerulea. RNAcentral describes it as "tRNA-Pro". Lineage: Bacteria; Bacillati; Actinomycetota; Actinomycetes; Streptosporangiales; Thermomonosporaceae. The record is from RNAcentral.